Long non-coding RNA from Drosophila eugracilis, 593 nucleotides. RefSeq lists it as uncharacterized. The transcript has 3 exons. Lineage: Eukaryota; Metazoa; Arthropoda; Insecta; Diptera; Drosophilidae. The record is from RefSeq and is a predicted model, not a curated record.
UUCAAUUAUCAUCACUCGUUUUGGAGCGUCAAAGAUGCACCGGCCAGAAGAUGCAAGUUUCUUCAAUUCAUCAGCAAAUUGCGCAACUGGGCACCAUAAUCGUUUCCCUUCGUUAAAGCUGCCUUCGUUCGACAGGAAGUAUGGUGACUACAUGAAGUUUAUCACUGCCUUUACUAGCAUGGUACAUGAUGACGCUUCAAUAUAAACUGUUGACAAAUUUAACAACCUGCUUAACUGUUUGUCUGGUCCCGCGCUGAGUGUCGUGGCCCCCUUUCAAGUGUCCGAAAUCAAUUAUCCAAAGGUGUUAAGGCAGUUAAAGGAGCGCUACGAUAAAAAGAUUUAAGUUCCGCAUUGAUUGUCGCUUAGUGAAUUAAGGAGGACAUACUGCGAAUAAAACGGCUUUACAACGGCAGUCAGCCUGCGUUACCUUUCUACUUGCUGCUCGAGCAGAGGUACGCAGCUUGUUAAUACUAAAAUUGGUGAUAAACUGUUAGCCCAACGGCAAUGAAAACGACAAUCAUGAGGCGCGCUGAAGGGUUAUGCGUCUUUAAAGGGUCAGGCUUCCAAUAAAUUCAUAAAAUCACUCUGGACAC